RNAcentral lists this ribosomal RNA (446 nucleotides) under uncultured bacterium. RNAcentral describes it as "bacterial SSU rRNA". It matches the Rfam family "Bacterial small subunit ribosomal RNA", at positions 29 to 507 of the family's 1533-position model. The record is from RNAcentral.
AACGAACGCUGGCGGCAUGCUUAACACAUGCAAGUCGAACGGAUAGCUUGCUAUCAGUGGCGCACGGGUGAGUAACACGUGGGAACCUACCUUUUAGUUUGGGAUAACUUUGGGAAACUAAGGCUAAUACCGGAUACGCUUUGCAGCUUGGCGCUGUAAAGGAAAGAUUUAUCGCUAAAAGAUGGGCCCGCGGUGGAUUAGCUUGUUGGUGGGGUAAAGGCUUACCAAGGCAACGAUCCAUAGCUGGUCUGAGAGGAUGAUCAGCCACACUGGGACUGAGAUACGGCCCAGACUCCUACGGGAGGCAGCAGUGGGGAAUAUUGGACAAUGGGCGAAAGCCUGAUCCAGCAAUGCCGCGUGAGUGAAGAAGGUCUUCGGAUUGUAAAGCUCUUUCACGGGUGAAGAUAAUGACGGUAACCCGAGAAGAACGCCCCGGCUAACUCGUG